Paramuricea clavata is the source of this 712-nucleotide non-coding RNA. NCBI's taxonomy places the organism in Eukaryota, Metazoa, Cnidaria, Anthozoa, Malacalcyonacea, Plexauridae. The record is from the annotation of a GenBank genome assembly.
CUCAACUGCUGUUCUCAACUGCAAUCUUUCACGAUCACUGUUCACGUCUUUCCGAUGCUUCCCAGGCAGAGGUUCACAGUGUGAAAAACGACUGCAUUCAGCACAGCGAAGACUCAGCAUUAGUAAUUACAGUGUGAAGUAUAUUGGCGAAAACAAAAUGUACGAUUAAAACAUGGGUUUUUUGCAUGGGCUUCGUGCUGUAGCUGUGUUGACGGGUAAUACUAGUUUCAUAUUAUUCAUUUUAUAAAUACUCAUUUUUCAUAUCUUCAAUUUGAUAUACAAUUGACCAAAUAUUAGCCAACUGAGCCAAGACAAGUUAUGAAGGUAUAAAUAUGUCGAUUUUAUUUCAACAUCAUACAUGGACUGUUAGAAAAGCCCUGACGGGCUUGUUAGUCUUCCUUCCAUAUGAAUUGACUGUAACUGUAUAAUGAAAAAAUAAAUAUCUAUAUCAAAUGGUUCUUAUCGGUUUCAUUUUGUAUUUGUUUAUUUUGUUAAAGCUUCUGGCUGAUUCACACUCGGAUACAACACGAAAUCGCCUGGUCAAGCACUACAACAAUGAGGUAUAAAUUCUUAAGUGAAAUAAUAUAAAAUAACAUUUAUAAAUUUUAUUUGGUUUGGCAGCUGAAAAGUUUAUUGUCUAAAACUGGCGGAAAGAUACUGGUAGUUUUUCAAUUUUGUUGGAAUUAUCGAAGACCCGACACAAACGAAGAAG